UACGUAGGGAGCAAGCGUUGUCCGGAAUUACUGGGCGUAAAGGGCGUGUAGGCGGGAAUUUAAGUAAGGUGUGAAAACUCCGGGCUCAACCUGGAGACUGCACUUUAAACUGGAUUUCUUGAGGGCAGGAGAGGAAAGUGGAAUUCCUAGUGUAGCGGUGAAAUGCGUAGAUAUUAGGAGGAACACCAGUGGCGAAGGCGACUUUCUGGACUGUACCUGACGCUGAGGCGCGAAAGCGUGGGUAGCGAAC
Molecule: ribosomal RNA, 250 nt
Filed under: uncultured bacterium
Lineage: Bacteria
Description: partial 16S ribosomal RNA
Rfam family: Bacterial small subunit ribosomal RNA
Source: RNAcentral